CCCAGUCCAGAUUCUUCAUCUUCUUGCAUCAGAUGUCAAGCUGAGGUAAAUGGUAAAUUCUAUCUCUCUAAAUAUAUGUUUAUGAGACAAGACAAGAGCUGCUUGCUUCCUUAUUGAAUAUUAAAUGUAGGUGAGUCUCAAGUGUUGUCCAAAUCAGAACCAAGAACAAAACAUUACAUCAAUUUUGUUAAUGCUACUUGUGUUUUUCAAGAUCUCACAAUUUUAUUUUAAAUAUGUUGAGAAACUUCUAUUUCCUUGAUUUUAGUGUAUUCAUUUUUUAUUUUAUUUUAUUUCCAUACAAAAAAUUGUUAAAAUAAUAAUAUAGGCAAUUCAGAUAUUUAGAUUUUUAUUUGGGUUGAAAAAUAGACUUAGUUUUUAAGUUGGGCUAAUGAAAAUUUGUAUAAAUACUAAGCAUAGACUCAGCCCGAAUUUGGCCGGCUCGGCCCACAAAUAGGUUUACUCAGUCGCUUACUACUAUUAUUGAGGUAACGUGCACCAUUAAAAUCUUUAUAUUUUUCACGUAUCUUUUUUUUCUCUUAUCCCUUCUUUUCUUUUUCAUGUUUUUGUCCUUUCUCAACAAACCCCUGCUUUCACCAAUUUCACUACCAUCUAUGGCUUUCCCUGAACACCAAACUCGUCGGUGGAUCUCCCAAGGUUGUCCCUUGAUUCCAAUAAGCCUAGCCCCAACCUUUUUGCUCCCAGAAACAUAAACCUAAAUCCAUUGAAGAUGAGAUAGCUAAACGAGCAGAGCAAGUCCAAGGUGUGAAAUCAAUGGUGGGGAUCAAAUAGGACGGAGUCGGAUCCGGAGGGAUGUAUCAGCAAGCAGGAGGUAUUGGUAGAUAGUUCAAGAAUGAACUCGUCAAGGAAAAUCAUGCUUUAAAAUGGCAGCUCAUCACCAUCGGCGAUGAAAAGCACCUCUGAAACAACCACCACCAUGACAACUACGACAGUUGCAAUUAUUGUUGCGGCAAUGACAACAUCUCCUCAUCCUCCUUCAUCGUUUCAGCGUAUGGAUACGUUACUUAAGACACAAUCAAUUUCCUCUCGCAAGGACAAAUGGUUUUAGUCUGGCUAUCAAUUGUUGUUAUCUGGUUUUUGUUUGGUCAAAAGUUGCAUGACCAUGGUAAUAUUUACAAACUCUACAAUUACGUUUAGAUAUUUGAUAAGUUAAAUCCAUUUAAGUUCUAACAA
Gossypium raimondii (Peruvian cotton) is the source of this 1191-nucleotide long non-coding RNA. RefSeq lists it as uncharacterized. Lineage: Eukaryota; Viridiplantae; Streptophyta; Magnoliopsida; Malvales; Malvaceae. The record is from RefSeq and is a predicted model, not a curated record. The transcript has 2 exons.